RNAcentral lists this ribosomal RNA (1202 nucleotides) under metagenome. RNAcentral's name for it is "bacterial SSU rRNA". It matches the Rfam family "Bacterial small subunit ribosomal RNA", at positions 313 to 1498 of the family's 1533-position model. The record is from RNAcentral.
GUGGGACUGAGACACGGCCCACACACCUACGGGUGGCAGCAGUUGGGAAUCUUGCACAAUGGGGGAAACCCUGAUGGAGCGACGCCGCGUGGGGGAUGAAUGGCUUCGGCCCGUAAACCCCUGUCAUUUGCGAACAAAAUUUACAUUUUAAUAGAGUGUGAACUGAUUGUAGCGAAAGAGGAAGGGACGGCUAACUCUGUGCCAGCAGCCGCGGUAAUACAGAGGUCCCAAGCGUUGUUCGGAUUCACUGGGCGUAAAGGGUGCGUAGGCGGUCGGGUAAGUUUGAUGUGAAAUCUCUGGGCUUAACCCAGAAAUGGCAUUGAAUACUAUUCGGCUAGAGAAUCGGAGGGGGGACUGGAAUACUUGGUGUAGCAGUGAAAUGCGUAGAUAUCAAGUGGAACACCAGUGGCGAAGGCGAGUCCCUGGACGAUUUCUGACGCUGAGGCACGAAAGCUAGGGGAGCAAACAGGAUUAGAUACCCUGGUAGUCCUAGCUGUAAACGGUGCACGUUUGCUGUAAAAGGAAUCGACCCCUUUUGUGGCGAAGCUAACGCGUUAAACGUGCCGCCUGGGAAGUACGGUCGCAAGAUUAAAACUCAAAGAAAUUGACGGGGGCCUGCACAAGCGGUGGAGUAUGUGGCUUAAUUCGAUGCAACGCGAAGAACCUUACCUGGCCUUGACAUGCAAGUGGUAGAACCUUGAAAGAGGGACGAACCCGCAAGGGUAGCUUGCACAGGUGCUGCAUGGCUGUCGUCAGCUCGUGUCGUGAGAUGUUGGGUUAAGUCCCGCAACGAGCGCAACCCCUGUGUCCUGUUGCCACCCGGCCGAGAGGCUGGAGCACUCUGGACAGACUGCCUCGCUUAAACGAGGAGGAAGGUGGGGAUGACGUCAAGUCAGUAUGGCCCUUACGGCCAGGGCUGCACACGUACUACAAUGCCCGGUACAAAGGGAAGCAAGACCGCGAGGUGGAGCAAAUCCCCUAAAACCGGGCUCAGUUCAGAUUGUAGUCUGCAACUCGACUACAUGAAGCUGGAAUCGCUAGUAAUGGCGCAUCAGCUACGGCGCCGUGAAUACGUUCCCAGGCCUUGUACACACCGUCCGUCACAUCAUGAAAGCCGUUUGUACCCGAAGUCGUCGUGCUAACCGCAAGGAGGCAGAUGCCGAAGGUAUGGAUGGUGAUUGGGAUGAAGUCGAAACAAGGUA